UACGGAGGGUGCAAGCGUUAUCCGGAUUCACUGGGUUUAAAGGGUGCGUAGGAGGGCAGGUAAGUCAGUGGUGAAAUCCCCGAGCUUAACUUGGGAACUGCCGUUGAUACUAUCUGUCUUGAAUACCGUGGAGAUGAGCGGAAUAUGUCAUGUAGCGGUGAAAUGCUUAGAGAUGACAUAGAAUACCCAUUGCGAAGGCAGCUAACUACGCGAUAAUUGACGCUCAUGCACGAAAGCGUGGGGAUCAAACAGG
Molecule: ribosomal RNA, 253 nt
Filed under: uncultured bacterium
Lineage: Bacteria
Description: partial 16S ribosomal RNA
Rfam family: Bacterial small subunit ribosomal RNA
Source: RNAcentral